RNAcentral lists this ribosomal RNA (425 nucleotides) under uncultured bacterium. RNAcentral describes it as "bacterial SSU rRNA". It matches the Rfam family "Bacterial small subunit ribosomal RNA", at positions 354 to 796 of the family's 1533-position model. The record is from RNAcentral.
GUAGGGAAUCUUGCGCAAUGGGCGAAAGCCUGACGCAGCCAUGCCGCGUGAAUGAUGAAGGUCUUAGGAUUGUAAAAUUCUUUCACCGGGGACGAUAAUGACGGUACCCGGAGAAGAAGCUCCGGCUAACUUCGUGCCAGCAGCCGCGGUAAUACGAAGGGGGCUAGCGUUGCUCGGAAUUACUGGGCGUAAAGGGCGCGUAGGCGGAUAUUUAAGUCGGGGGUGAAAGCCCGGGGCUCAACCUUGGAAUUGCCUUUGAUACUGGCUGUCUUGAGUUUGGGAGAGGUGAGUGGAACUCCGAGUGUAGAGGUGAAAUUCGUAGAUAUUCGGAAGAACACCAGUGGCGAAGGCGACUCACUGGCCCAAUACUGACGCUGAGGCGCGAAAGCGUGGGGAGCAAACAGGAUUAGAUACCCUGGUAGUCC